RNAcentral lists this ribosomal RNA (429 nucleotides) under Actinomycetes bacterium. RNAcentral's name for it is "Actinobacteria bacterium partial 16S ribosomal RNA". It matches the Rfam family "Bacterial small subunit ribosomal RNA", at positions 355 to 776 of the family's 1533-position model. Lineage: Bacteria; Bacillati; Actinomycetota; Actinomycetes. The record is from RNAcentral.
UAGGGAAUCUUCCGCAAUGGGCGAAAGCCUGACGGAGCAACGCCGCGUGAGUGAUGAAGGUCUUCGGAUCGUAAAACUCUGUUAUUAGGGAAGAACAAAUGUGUAAGUAACUAUGCACGUCUUGACGGUACCUAAUCAGCAAGCCACGGCUAACUACGUGCCAGCAGCCGCUGUAAUACGUAGGUGGCAAGCGUUAUUCGGAAUUAUUGGGCGUAAAGCGCGCGUAGGCGGUUUUUUAAGUCUGAUGUGAAAGCCCACGGCUCAACCGUGGAGGGUCAUUGGAAACUGGAAAACUUGAGUGCAGAAGAGGAGAGUGGAAUUCCAUGGGUAGCGGUGGAAUGCGCAGAAAUAUGGAGGAACACCAGAGGCGAAGGCGACUUUCUGGUCUGUAACUGACGCUGAUGUGCAAAAGCGUGGGGAUCAAACAGG